CUGCUGACACAUCCGGUGGAAAAGGGGAAAGAGCAGCUGAGAAGGUGCGAGCCGGAAAGUGAAGGUGUUUGUGAAAAGUAGGAAAAUGACAAAAGGUUUUAGGGACGUUAACUGCUGAUAGGUGCGGAGUCGCUGGUGAUGAAGUGAGCUUAGCUGUCAGGGCUCUCAUUUGACUGGAACCCAGCCUCGCAGGCAGGUGCUCUGACAGCCCCACAGCCCAGGGGACGAUGAAGGGGUGCACGGUUGAGUUCGCCAUUCUGACGCACCCAUCUGAGACCGGGACUGGUGACAAAGUUGGGUGAGACGCAGCUGUGCCCUGACACCCAUUUUGCUGGGUUAUUUCUGAUGGCAAAGGUAACUCCAAACAUAGAAAUCCUUUCUGCAUGAGACACGUAUGAACUAGAAAGAAGAGGUACCUUCUUAGUGGGCAAACAUGAUAAACAUCACUUUACUUAGUAAUCGAAUAAAUAUUCCAAGAAAUGGGAUGAGUGAUGGGCCACGUCCCCCGAAAAGAUGCCCAGAGAAGAACACGUAGCUUCUGCCAAAAAACGCACAACUCGAAUCUAACCAUGUCAGACAAAUCCACGCCGAGAGAGACCUAGACGAUAACUGUCCUGUCUUCGUCAGCAUCCGUGUCACAAAGCGUGAGAGACUGAAGAACUAGUCCAGGUUAAAGGAGACUGGCGAGAUGGGACAAAAUGGCAAUGCGUUUCUUUCAGUCAAAGGACAUUCCUGGGACAGCCGGGGACAAUGUAAUUCAGGCCAGUAGAUUAGAUAGUGCUAUUGUAUCCGUGUUAUUUCCUGGUCAUGACACUUGUCCUGAAAUUGUGGAACAGAAUGAUUUGGUUUUUAGGAAAGAUACAUCAAUGUAUUUAGAGAGAAAAGGGCACAGUGUGUGCAAUUUACAAAGAUCAAGGAAAGGUCGACAAUUAGCUAGACAGACCCAGAGACUUCCCUCUACAGAGGCUGAUCUGUAUCUAAAUACCUGCACCUGCAUCUCUACCAAGGACACAGGAUGAAGCAAAUACAAGAAAAUGCUACUAUUUAAGGGCAUCGAGGCAAAUACAGGAAGUCUUUAAACUAGUCUAGCAACCUUUCUCUCAGUCUUAAAUCACAUAAAUAUAAAAUGUUAAAAGAAAGA
Molecule: long non-coding RNA, 1141 nt
Organism: Phacochoerus africanus (Common warthog)
Lineage: Eukaryota; Metazoa; Chordata; Mammalia; Artiodactyla; Suidae
Exons: 2
Source: RefSeq, a predicted model, not a curated record